AUGAGGCAGGGUGGCAAUCCUACUCCUCGUCCGACGAGCUGGAUUCCUCCACCAUCAGGGUGGAUAAAACUGAAUGUAGACGUUGCUGUGGGGAGGGGAAGGAGACACGGUUCCGUAGCGGCAAUAUCAAGAGACUCUGCUGGCCUUUUUUUGGGAGCAUCGGCUGUGGUUUUUGAAGGCAUUUCCGAUCCGGCCACUCUUGAAUGCAUGGCGAUCAUGGAGGCGUUGGCCCUUGCGGAUGAUCUACAUGUCUCAACUAUACAAGUGGCGUCCGACUCGAAGGUGGUGGUCGAGGACAUCCGAGACAACAAUCCAACAGCAUAUGGUGCGAUCAUACAUGAAAUAAUAGAGCAUAGAUCAAAUUUCCUUUUGUGUAAUUUUUGCCACGAAUUUAGGAGCUCGAAUAUCGAGGCUCACAAGCUCGCGAAGCAUGCUUUAUCCCUUCCGACUGGCCGACAUGUUUGGUUGGGACAGCCGGACGGACUCUCUUUCGUCCAUGUAAACAUUGUGACGUCGUAA
This 519-nucleotide ribosomal RNA is filed under the name Triticum aestivum (bread wheat). RNAcentral describes it as "partial small subunit ribosomal RNA". The record is from RNAcentral. Lineage: Eukaryota; Viridiplantae; Streptophyta; Magnoliopsida; Poales; Poaceae.